RNAcentral lists this ribosomal RNA (400 nucleotides) under uncultured bacterium. RNAcentral describes it as "bacterial SSU rRNA". It matches the Rfam family "Bacterial small subunit ribosomal RNA", at positions 355 to 772 of the family's 1533-position model. The record is from RNAcentral.
UGAGGAAUCUUCCACAAUGGGCGAAAGCCUGAUGGAGCGACACCGCGUGAAGGAUGAAGGUCUAACGACUGUAAACUUCUUUUCUGAGGGAGCAUAAUGAGAGUACCUCAUGAAUAAGCACCGGCAAAACUCGUGCCAGCAGCCGCGGUAAUACGAGUGGUGCAAGCGUUACCCGGAAUUACUGGGUGUAAAGCGUUCGCAGGCGGAUAUUUAAGUCAAGUAUGAAAGACCGAAGCUCAACUUCGUGUUUGUAUUUGAAACUGUAUAUCUAGAAUUAGGGAGAGGUAAGCGGAAUUCUAAGUGUAGGGGUGCAAUCCGUAGAUACUUAGAAGAACACCAAAAGCGAAGGCAGCUUACUGGAACUAUAUUGACGCUAAGGAACGAAAGCGUGGGGAGCGAA